Long non-coding RNA from Quercus lobata, 1302 nucleotides. RefSeq lists it as uncharacterized. NCBI's taxonomy places the organism in Eukaryota, Viridiplantae, Streptophyta, Magnoliopsida, Fagales, Fagaceae. The transcript is spliced from 4 exons. The record is from RefSeq and is a predicted model, not a curated record.
CCCUUCCCCAAAUUUUUCUGUGUCUCUUUCUACCCUUCUCGCUACAGUUCAGCCGCUCCUUCACUCAAGUCUCUCUCUCUCAAUAAGCUCAAAACACUAAAAAAAAGUCAGAAAAUUUUAAAGUAAUCAGAUAUUUCAGUGCUUUUUGUGGCGUUUACGUCAAGCUGUGAAAAUCUUACACAUUUGUACAUUACAGAACGCCAAACCAACGAACAUUGGUCGGUCUUUCGUUCCAUUCCUCACAUCCCAUUUUCCCACAAACUUUCUCUGCAGUUUCUUGCCUCUGAGUUUUUUUUUUUUUUCCCGGAAAGUUUCAAGCUUCAGAAGAAUUUUCAUUUUCCCAGAUAAGUUUCCUCUCCAUAUUCUCUGAUUCUUUCUGAACAGACUCAUAAGAACAUCAAGAAUUUCUGUUUUGGAAAAAAAGGGUAUCUGUUAGCUGUGUUGAAGUGGUGCUUUUUUUAAAUCUUUAUUUGAAUUGGGGUUUGUUAAUUCUUGGAUAAGUAGUAGCAAAUCCUGAUUUGGAGUGGAAUGCUGGUUUUGUUUGUGUUUUGAGAUUAUGGUGUGGUUUCGGUCGGUUUUGUUUGUGUUUUGAGCUUUUGGUGUGGUUUUGUUUGUGUUUUUCUUUUCCUUACCUUUUCGUUUCUCUUCUCUUUCCUUCCCCUUCCACUGAACCAAACAUAGUCUAAGGUAACCGUUUCUAUAUAUUAAAGCCUUACAUUAUUAUUGAGAGCUUCAGUAAGGGUUAGAGAGAGUCCGAACAGGAGAGAAAAAUCUGAGGACCUGCACCAACCAGUUUUUCUCCGAAAACUUUACCGAAUUUCAGUUUCAGGGUCAUCAAAGCUGUUGGCUAAUAUUCUGUACUCAUGGGUCUAUCUGUUGGGAACUUAAUUGCUAGAUGGGAUGGGAUGAAAUUUGAGAAGUGCCAUUGAUCUGUAGAGGCACUACAAGAAGGGUGAUUCAAAAUCCAGAACUUUGCCCAUGUAUUUCCGGAUCGGGACGGUGAUAGAGUCAGCAUCAAACUUUUUCACAGGUAGACUAACAAAGGAGAGAAAGGGAACAAUUGCAUCUGAGGUUAUCUGAUCUCUCCCUUGCUGGCUACAGGUGAGAUAUGCAACUCUAUCGAAAACCAUAUGACCAUAUCAUGACAUGAUGUGUUGAGUUCAAAGGGUAAAAGGAAUGUGGUGUUGCCAUUCAUAAAAAUAUAUUAUUUUGCCUAUAUAUAAUGGUUGAUUAAGAUGAAUUCAGCAAAGGGAGAUCUAAAUUCUAUAUGAGCUUGCUUAUCUUAGUUGUAAUCUUCAAAUG